UGCAGUCGAGCGACAGAUGAGAAGCUUGCUUCUCUGAUGUUAGCGGCGGACGGGUGAGUAACACGUGGGUAACCUACCUAUAAGACUGGGAUAACUCCGGGAAACCGGGGCUAAUACCGGAUAAUAUUUUGAACCGCAUGGUUCAAUAGUGAAAGACGGUUUCGGCUGUCACUUAUAGAUGGACCCGCGCCGUAUUAGCUAGUUGGUAAGGUAACGGCUUACCAAGGCGACGAUACGUAGCCGACCUGAGAGGGUGAUCGGCCACACUGGAACUGAGACACGGUCCAGACUCCUACGGGAGGCAGCAGUAGGGAAUCUUCCGCAAUGGGCGAAAGCCUGACGGAGCAACGCCGCGUGAGUGAUGAAGGUCUUCGGAUCGUAAAACUCUGUUG
Molecule: ribosomal RNA, 392 nt
Filed under: Mammaliicoccus sciuri
Lineage: Bacteria; Bacillati; Bacillota; Bacilli; Caryophanales; Staphylococcaceae
Description: bacterial SSU rRNA
Rfam family: Bacterial small subunit ribosomal RNA
Source: RNAcentral